UGGAUUACAUUUGUGUAUGAAGGUUUCUAUCCAAACUUUGAAAUAUCUUUUGACUUUAUAUUUUACAUGCAUGCAUGUGUGUUCAUGAUGGGGAGAGAAAGGAAUGUUCGCAUUUGGGUUAGUACCAAGCAUGGUGUGGGUAACUGCUGUGAGCCUUUUUAUUACAAUUUUGUCCUGACAUAUGAGUUGGAAAAU
Unclassified non-coding RNA from Dasypus novemcinctus (nine-banded armadillo), 195 nucleotides. Lineage: Eukaryota; Metazoa; Chordata; Mammalia; Cingulata; Dasypodidae. The record is from Ensembl.